AUUGAACGCUGGCGGCAGGCUUAACACAUGCAAGUCGAACGAUGAAGAUAUAGCUUGCUAUAUCGGAUUAGUGGCGGACGGGUGAGUAACACUUAGGAAUCUACCUUUUAGCGGGGGAUAGCUCGGGGAAACUCGAAUUAAUACCGCAUAAUUUCUACGGAAUAAAGAGGGCUUUUAGCUCUCACUAGAAGAUGAGCCUAAGUAAGAUUAGCUAGUUGGUGGGGUAAAAGCCUACCAAGGCGACGAUCUUUAGCUGGUCUGAGAGGAUGAUCAGCCACACUGGGACUGAGACACGGCCCAGACUCCUACGGGAGGCAGCAGUGGGGAAUAUUGGACAAUGGGGGCAACCCUGAUCCAGCCAUGCCGCGUGUGUGAAGAAGGCCUUUUGGUUGUAAAGCACUUUAAGCAGUGAAGAAGACCUAUUGGUUAAUACCCAAUAGCGAUGACAUUAACCGCAGAAUAAGCACCGGCUAACUCUGUGCCAGCAGCCGCGGUAAUACAGAGGGUGCAAGCGUUAAUCGGAAUUACUGGGCGUAAAGCGAGCGUAGGUGGUUAAAUAAGUCAGAUGUGAAAGCCCUGGGCUCAACCUAGGAACGGCAUCUGAAACUAUUUAACUAGAGUAGGUGAGAGGGAAGUAGAAUUUCAGGUGUAGCGGUGAAAUGCGUAGAGAUCUGAAGGAAUACCGAUGGCGAAGGCAGCUUCCUGGCAUCAUACUGACACUGAGGCUCGAAAGCGUGGGUAGCAAACAGG
This 750-nucleotide ribosomal RNA is filed under the name uncultured bacterium. RNAcentral describes it as "bacterial SSU rRNA". It matches the Rfam family "Bacterial small subunit ribosomal RNA", at positions 28 to 776 of the family's 1533-position model. The record is from RNAcentral.